UAGGGAAUCUUCCGCAAUGGGCGAAAGCUUGACGGAGCAACGCCGCGUGAGUGAUGAAGGUCUUCGGAUCGUAAAACUCUGUUAUUAGGGAAGAACAAAUGUGUAAGUAACUAUGCACGUCUUGACGGUACCUAAUCAGAAAGCCACGGCUAACUACGUGCCAGCAGCCGCGGUAAUACGUAGGUGACAAGCGUUAUCCGGAAUUAUUGGGCGUAAAGCGCGCGUAGGCGGUUUUUUAAGUCUGAUGUGAAAGCCCACGGCUCAACCGUGGAGGGUCAUUGGGAACUGGCAAACUGGGGUGCAGAAGAGGAAAGUGAAUUUCCAUGUGUAGCGGUGAAAUGCGCAGAGAUAUGGGGAAACACCAGUGGCGAAGGCGACUUUCUGGUCUGUAACUGACGCUGAUGUGCGAAAGCGUGGGGAUCAAACAGG
This 429-nucleotide ribosomal RNA is filed under the name Actinomycetes bacterium. Its description in RNAcentral is "Actinobacteria bacterium partial 16S ribosomal RNA". It matches the Rfam family "Bacterial small subunit ribosomal RNA", at positions 355 to 776 of the family's 1533-position model. Lineage: Bacteria; Bacillati; Actinomycetota; Actinomycetes. The record is from RNAcentral.